GAGUUUGAUCCUGGCUCAGGACGACACGCUGGCGGCGUGCUUAACACAUGCAAGUCGAACGGUAAGGCCCUUCGGGGUACACGAGUGGCGAACGGGUGAGUAACACGUGGGUAAUCUGCCCUGCACAUCGGGAUAAGCCUGGGAAACUGGGUCUAAUACCGAAUAGGACCACAGAACACAUGUCCUGUGGUGGAAAGCUUUUGCGGUGUGGGAUGGGCCCGCGGCCUAUCAGCUUGUUGGUGGGGUGAUGGCCCACCAAGGCGACGACGGGUAGCCGGCCUGAGAGGGUGUCCGGCCACACUGGGA
RNAcentral lists this ribosomal RNA (306 nucleotides) under uncultured Mycobacterium sp. Its description in RNAcentral is "bacterial SSU rRNA". It matches the Rfam family "Bacterial small subunit ribosomal RNA", at positions 9 to 318 of the family's 1533-position model. Lineage: Bacteria; Bacillati; Actinomycetota; Actinomycetes; Mycobacteriales; Mycobacteriaceae. The record is from RNAcentral.